RNAcentral lists this transfer RNA (72 nucleotides) under Sphaerodactylus townsendi. Its description in RNAcentral is "tRNA-Thr". It matches the Rfam family "tRNA". Rfam says of the family: Transfer RNA (tRNA) molecules are approximately 80 nucleotides in length. Their secondary structure includes four short double-helical elements and three loops (D, anti-codon, and T loops). Further hydrogen bonds mediate the characteristic L-shaped molecular structure. tRNAs have two regions of fundamental functional importance: the anti-codon, which is responsible for specific mRNA codon recognition, and the 3' end, to which the tRNAs corresponding amino acid is attached (by aminoacyl-tRNA synthetases). tRNAs cope with the degeneracy of the genetic code in two manners: having more than one tRNA (with a specific anti-codon) for a particular amino acid; and 'wobble' base-pairing, i.e. permitting non-standard base-pairing at the 3rd anti-codon position. Lineage: Eukaryota; Metazoa; Chordata; Lepidosauria; Squamata; Sphaerodactylidae. The record is from RNAcentral.
GGGACUGUGACUCAGUGGCAGAGAAGCCGCUUGGUGUACAGAAGACUCCAGGUUCAAUCCCCGGCAUUCCCA